RNAcentral lists this ribosomal RNA (254 nucleotides) under uncultured bacterium. RNAcentral describes it as "partial 16S ribosomal RNA". It matches the Rfam family "Bacterial small subunit ribosomal RNA", at positions 524 to 776 of the family's 1533-position model. The record is from RNAcentral.
UACGUAGGAGGCGAGCGUUGUCCGGAAUUACUGGGCGUAAAGAGCGCGUAGGCGGCACGGUACGACCGGUGUGAAAGCCCCCGGCUCAACUGGGGAGGGUCACCGGUAACGGCCGAGCUAUGAGUGCAGGAGAGGGAAGUGGAACUCCGGGAGUAGCGGUGAAAUGCGCAGAUAUCAGGAAGAACACCCGUGGCUAAGGCGGCUCUCUAGUACGGUACUGACGCUGAGACGCGAAAGCGUGGGGAGCGAACAGG